Molecule: long non-coding RNA, 16878 nt
Organism: Aedes albopictus (Asian tiger mosquito)
Lineage: Eukaryota; Metazoa; Arthropoda; Insecta; Diptera; Culicidae
Exons: 2
Source: RefSeq, a predicted model, not a curated record
UGAAAGAGAGAGGUGAAUAAACGUCAGCAAGCUCCAUGAUCAUGAUGAAAUGAAACGUCAGUCUUGUACAGUAUUUUGCACGAGUAGGUUGCAUCAUUUGCAUCCUUCCUCGAAAUAGAGUUUCGGCCGACAGAAUCAGUUGACCCGGAUUGCCACGGUGUCCGUCUGGACACGAUACUUACCUUGAACAGUUGAAGUUGAUUUGAAAUGGAAAAGAACGAUUUUGCGACUGAACAGAUACUAUACCCGUAAAAUCCAUAUUUAAUUCUGUAAUCGCCCAUUUAUACUUUAAAUAAACUUUAUGUGCACCGUCGUGCGGGGUUACUUUUGAAAUGCGGGGCUACCUCGGACACUUUUGAAUUUGGAUUUUUUGAAUUCAAAAUAUGGGUCAAAUCUGUUUGAUUUCUUUGGGACUACAUAUUAUGUAGCAAUAUUUUCCCCUUCAUUUGGUAGAAAUUGUUCUUCAAACAAACCCUUUAUUGCUUGUCAGGACGCGAAAAAACAUCGAAUAAACUAAAAAAAUAAAUCUAUCACAACAUUUGCUCUGUAUGCAUUGUUGCUACAGUUCAUAAAUUUCGAAGGGUUAAUUUAUUCAUUCAAAAUCUAUCAACGUAGCAUAUACAAUCAAAUAUUUGAAUCGUUAUGCAUUAUAAAUGACCUUUUCACCUAAAUAAAAGAUUGAUGGUCCCUUUUUUAAGACUGUCUUUUUUACAAUAUCACGCUGCUCAUAAUACCAAAGAUAGCACAGAACCAUCCAAAAAUGCAUACAUUUAUUGAAAUCAUGUAAGAUAUAGUAUGCAACAGUAUUAGUACAAUGUAGUUUUCUAAAAAAAUGCAGUUUUAAAAUUUUAAAUGCAGUUUUGCUAUAGUUCAAAAUGCCCAAAGUAGCCCCAAUCCACUUCUAUAUGAGAUGUGUCCGAUUGGUGUAUGAACAACUUUUUUGUUUAUUGAUGGAUUUAGCUCAAAUUUUGUAUACAUCCUACAUACAUACAUACUAACGAUUAUUGUGUGUAAAAAUUGUGGAAAUUCAUCCACUAAUCUGGGAGUUAUAAUGUCAUAAAGUUGAAAAAUCAUGAAAAAGUGUAUACGACGGUACGUAUAAAGUAUAGCUAGCUUUUUAGGCUCCAUUGUUACUCGGGUACGUAUAUAUGUACAUGAUUCAAUAGCAUAAAAGAGUGAAGAAUUAGCAUAAAUGAAAACAAACAAUAAAGAGCAUAAAACUUUAUAAUAAAGUCACCUUCUUUUGGUCUCCGGAGUUCUUCCUUUUACCUAAUAUUACCCAUAGAGCCUGGUUUACGAACCUGAAAUCCCAUAAACAUCUACAACAUUGAAUUUUGGGCCACCAUAUUUCAUAUUUUAGUCGUCAUUUUUGGACUCUGUACGUCUUCCCCAUGCCAAAACUACCCAUAUUGCAUGGUUUUAGAGCCAAAACCUGCAAAAUUGCCGCUACAGUUGACUCUCCACAUCUCGAUAUUGAAGAGACCAUCGAAAUAAGGAGAGAUUGAGCUCAAGAACCAAUUAGUAAUGCACACUAGAUUGAAAAAUCGUCCGUAUAUAGGAAAAAAAAACCGACAACAAACAGAUGCCACUUCGCCUUCCCAGAAUGUUUUGCACCUAAGAAACGGGAUCUAGCAACCUGAGAUCAAAUAGAGAUAGAGAGAUAUCGAGAUAAGGAGAUAUCGACAUGUGGAACGGUAAAAUAUGUGCAGAUUAAAGGGACCGAGUAAACCAUCGAGAUUGGGAGAGAUAUCGAGAUGAAGAACAUCGACAUAUGGAGAGUCGACUGUAUCUAGAGUUUUAGGCCACCAUUUUGGAAUCAAGGUCGUCAUCUAGGAUUUUCCAGUCUUUCACAUACUGUAAUCCGGGGUCAAAUUGAUCACUUAAAAACAACUUUUACGGAUAACAUCAGUGCCUGUUCAAAUAUUGCCAAAAUAAUUUCUGUAAAACCAGUACCCAGUGGAUCUCCAUGGAACCAUGUGACAGAAUUUUGUUCAACAAAUUUAAAGUUUAAGUUAAAUAACUUCAAAUAUCAAAAUAUUGGAAAUGCAACUUUGGGGCGAAAUUGAUCAGUAUACAAUUAAGCAUCGGCUGGAAAGGAAAAUUUCCUUCACCGCUUAAUUUGCUCUUCUAAAACCGAAUAACGCGUCUAAAAUCUUACAACUAGUGAAUUUAAUACUUUAAAUGCAAAAUUAAAUUUCGAAAUUUCCCCUUAAACGCCUAAAGGUAGGCAAUUUAAUUGGAAAUAAGUGAUUUCUAUUACAAUAAAUGACUAUUUCUUCAUAAAAUGAACUUUUUAUAACAAUUUCAUGUUCUGAUUAGCUGCAUAACAUCCCAACCAAGGCUCCACAAAAAUGUUAAAACAGAGAAUUCACGGGAAGUCCUACUAGCAAUUGAUUGUUUAGUAGCAAGGAUUUCAGCUAAAUGAGAAAUACAUUGCAAAUUCCUUGAAAAAAUAAGGCAAAACUAACUUUUUCUAAAAAAUUAAAAGUCUACACUCAUCUCUAGACAUCUAGGGUAAAAAAUAUAAUUUGGACAUGUAUAUAAUUUGGACAUGCACGGCGAUGUAUGCCUUGUUCCGGAGAGCUAAUAAAAGUAGAUACUUCUCAAUAUCGAUUAUUGGAUCAAAUAGACCCUAUUCUGAUGACUUACGUUGAAAAUACGCUUAACAAUUAAGAAUUUACUUCAAAAUUAUCGAAAAUGUAAAUUAUUUCACUAAAACCCCUCAAAUGCACAGGUAUGCAAGACGACAUACACUUCACAGUCACAUACAAUAUUCACCUCAAAAUCGUUGAAAUUUUAAUUGUAAGAAAUUUAAAAGCCUUAUUGCAUUGAAACAUGUUCAAUAAAGAAGCAUUAGGCAGCCAAUCUCUUAACAUUCAUCUAGAACGCUUAAUAUAGGUGGUGUCCAAAAUACAUUACAAGUUUUCUACUGUAAAUAUAUUUUGGUCAUCUGACGAACUACAUGGGGAUGCUGUACGAUUGCAUACUUGGAGGCGUAUUCUGUGGGUCUGGCGAUAUUUCCUCGAUUUUAACAAAAACUGUAAUAGUUAUCAAAAUAGAUGCCUGUUAAGCGGAGAAAUUUGAUUAUUUGUAAGAAAAUAUUUGUUAAUUUAUGCUACUUCCAUGAUUUAGCAGUAUUCAUGGCUAAACAUUGAGAUAAUUGCCCUGUCUACAGGGUGUUAGGUUCCUGAGUGCAAACUUUUUAAAGGGUGAUAGAGGACCAUAAAUGGUGAAAAAAAUUGUUCUACGCAUAUGGUCAAAUCUCAACCGUUGCGUAGUUAUUGAACUUUCCAUGGUUUUGACUCUCAUUGCCUUAACUGGCUAUAACUUGAAAAUGGUCAAACUUAUCGAAGUUUUUUGACCCUUAUUCGAAAGAUUAUUGAAUUUUAUAUCAAAUGGGAUCUUUGAAUCGAUUGGUUUAGUUAAAUCAAUAAAUUUUCUAGAGCAAAAUAGCUAAAAAUAGUGUAUUUUUAUUGGUUGUUGUCAAUUAUCUUUGAAAAAUGCAUAGUAAUUUAAAAUUCUUUCUUAGGCAAAGUUGUGGCCCCUGUUCUACUCUACAAUUCGUUCUUUGACAUCAAACUUCUAUCUCUCAUCGUUUUGUUGAAAUUUCGAAUUAAACAUCGCAUUUCAGAUCAUAAAUUUGCAACUGUCAUGGAAAGCACUUUUUUGCGCAUUGUGUCGCACAUUUAAAUCAAAAUAGCAAGAAAAAGAUAAGAGCUAGAAGUUUAGUGUCAAAGAACGAAUUGUAGAGUGGAACAGGGGCCAGAGCUUUGCCGAAGAAAGAAUUUUAAUUUAUUACACAUGUUUCAAAGAUAAUUGACAAAAACCAAUAAAAAUACACUAUUUUUAGCUAUUUUGCUCUAGAAAACUUAGUUAUUUUACUAAACCAAUCGAUUCAAAGAUGCCAUUUGAUAGAAAAUUCAAUAAUCUUUUAAAUAAGGGUAAAACAACUUCGAAAAGUUUGACCAUUUUCAAGUUAUUGCCAGUUAAGGUAAUAAGAGUCAAAAACAUGGGAAGUUCAAUAACUACGUAACGGUUGAGAUUUGACCAUAUGCGUAGAACAAUUUUUUUCACCAUUUAUGGUCCUCUAUCACCCUUUAAAAAGUUUGCACUCAGGAACCUAACACCCUGUAUAUACCUGAGGGUGUCCAAAAUGCAAUUCUAACAGGCGAUCGGAAAUUGCGAUUUUCUCAGCUUAAAAUGCUUUCGUUAAGGUUUUUGUCACCAGGAACGAAAAGCACAAUCAUAUUAUAAGCGUAUUGGUAACUUUGCAAAAUAAUUAAUUGCUUUCUAAGAAAUCUAGGGGACGAUUUUUUCAACGUUGUCCUCAGCCUGUCCAAAAUACAUGAAUUACCCUACGAAUCAGAUGACGUAAAAAGUUAAAGAUCAUUACGACGCGUAAGAGUUCCUAGUAUGGAAUUAUAAUUUAGUACCCAAGUGAUCAAUUUCACCCCGCUGAUCAAUUUGACCCCGGUUUACGGUACCAAAUAUACACAUAUUUAAAGUUUGAAACUUCAUACAACAACCGCCAUUUUCAAUUUUUAGUCUACUACUGAAUAUUCUGAUCGUCGUUUUUGAACCUGAGAUUUGAAAAUCUUCCUCAUCCAAAAUAUACAAAUAUUGCAUGGUUUUAGAGCCUAAAAUUCCUUAAAACAUCAGCCAUCUUGAAUUUUUGGCCGCUAGUUUGGAUAAAAGGCUAUUUUUGAUGUUGAAAAUUGCGUUAACAUUUUUUAAACCUCGGACAUCUUCCCCAUACCAAAUACACCCAUAUUGCAUGGUUCCAUAGGCUAGCAAUCUAGCUACAGACAAGCAUACGUAACACUUGGAACAUUUUUCGAUUCGAAUCAUAGUCACGAAAGCUUUUUCGCCCAAUGCUAAAGGGACUGAGUUUGGCCAACCAUCAACUAGGUGGCGGCAGUGGGCAAACGUCAAACUCGUUCAAAAACGAUGCGAGCGCCACGGAUGGCCAGUUGGUCAGCUAUUAAAUUUUUGAAUAGACCAUUAAAUCGGUGUACACGAUGGGAAUAAUCAGAGUGUUACGUCUGUUUGUCUGGUCUCAGACUGCGGGCUUCUUCCAUAUAUCUAUUUUCUUCUUCUUCUUCUUGGCGUAACGUCCUCACUGGGACAAAGCCUGCUUCUCAGCUUAGUGUUCUAUGAGCACUUCCACAGUUAUUAACUGAGAGCUUCCUCUGCCAAUGACCAUUUUGCAUGUGUAUAUCGUGUGGCAGGCACGAAGAUACUCUAUGCCCAAGGAAGUCAAGGAAAUUUCCUUUACGAAAAGAUCCUGGACCGACCGGGAAUCGAACCCGUCACCCUCAGCAUGGUCAUGCUGAAUACCCGUGCGUUUACCGCCUCGGCUAUAUGGGCCCUUAUAUAUCAUAUAUCUAUAAGUCAUUGUUUUAUAGGUUAAAACUAUGAGCCUCAUAUAUUCUGGUAAACAUUUUUGGACUCCGGACCCAAAUACCUAAGAGCCUAUUUUUUUAUUCGUCAAUGUGAGCCCAAAACAGCCGCAGUCUCGAAUUGUGGGCCGCCAUCUUGGUUUUAGGUAGCCAUCUUCAAUUUUGUGUGGACAUCGUGUAUUUCGUGGUCUCCAUUGAUAAACCGACGCAAUUUGAUUGGUCGCCUGAUGAGAUUUGGUUCAGUUUAAUAAAUAACCAUUCGCCCCGGUGUUUGUCCGGAUCAUUAAAAUAGCCAUUACUACGGAACACAAACGGAACACCUCGACCGAUCCGGAAAAUUCUCAUUAGCAAACAAUGUGAUUAAAUAACGGUUCUAUUCGUGCUAAAAUCCGAAAAAUCGGCGAAUGGGAAGAACCUUGAAAGUGUGUUUUGUACACAGACAUAUGUAUAUACACAAAUACACACAUCGUCUCAAUUUGUCGAACUGAGUUGAUUAGUAUAUGUGACUCGACUCUCCGAACCUUCUAUCGAAUAAUCGUAUUUUGAGUGAUCAUAGCCUUCCAGAACGCUAUGAUGUAAGAGAAAGGUAAAAUCUGAUCGGAACAUGAAUGUCUUACACUACUACUGUAUAAAUACAACAAAUAUCUCUAUGGGAGCGGACCUGGUGUGGUGGUUAGAGCACAUGACUAUCACGCCGAGGACCUAGAAUCGAAUCCCACUCCCGACAAACUCGCAAAAUGUGAGUUCUUCCUUCGGAAGGGAAGUAAAGCGUGGAUCCCGCGAUGAACUAGCCUAGGGCUAAAAAUCUCGUUAAUACAGAUAAAAAAAAAACAAAUAUCCCUUGAAAGAAUCGCCGUAGUAACACACCGUAAUAGAUCUAACUAGUUUGCUACGAUCUCAAUUUCUGUCUACACAGUUGCUGGCGAAUAUCGACUUAUACAGAUUUGCUUGUACCAGGUCUCGGCUCUCCUACUUGAGUUUAUGAACUGUUUAUGAAUGAGCUUGACUCGUUGAGGUAACCCGGGGGCUGCUGACUGGUGGCGACCGAUCGCGCGGGUGGGUAAAACGAGCAACGACAAAACACCAGCGAGCGAGUAUACGAGCGAACAUGCAACAAAGCAGCACGCGGCGCGGGGCAGAGCAAAAAAAAAAUCGCACCAACUAAAUGAAUGAGUUGUGAAGAGCAGUGGCGGCGAAUGAAUGAGCGGAUAUCGUCCUUCGUGUCGUGCUCGCUCACACCCGAACCCACCAGUCUCCCCAUACAUAUUUUACAUCGCCCUGCGUUCGUCACCGGGUGGGUGACGAAGGCGGCAAUAUGGCAACGCAACGCAACGCUUUGCUGGGUGGUUUGGAGUUGGUUGCGUUUAUAGUUUGAAUUUGCAUUCACUCUUUCCUCCUCCACACAUCGUCGUCGCCUGCUUUGCUAGAGUGCUAGAGCUAACUCAAUGUGUGGAGCUGAACGGCGGUGGUGAUGAGGUAUUUCUACUCGUUUGAUGCACCUACACACCACUUUAGUGGGUUGCUGCAGUGCAGUGUGUCGCGACCGGGCAGCCUACUGCGAUUGGAAUUUUGCAGCACCACCGACCGACGCCACCGCUGCGCUGCUGGAAUCACGUUCACGUAGUAAGCAAUGCUUACUCGUGGCGACGAAACUUAUGUGGUGUUGUUGCAAGUUGGUACGGUAUUUGAUAUAUUUGUAAUUUCACAUCGAAUUCGCCCAGGAGAAUAACACUUGCAUCAUGGGGCGUACGCGUUACACUCACUAAAUUGUAGGCACAGGUUUACGACUAGGUAACUAAGCAGCAAAUCAUAAACGCCUGGUCCAUCAUAUCCAGCAUUUCAUGAGCCACUAUACGAGUGUGUAGUGUGUGUCCACCACAGAUGAUUGACUCCUUCUGUUCUCUGAAGUAGAAAGUGUAGAAAAAAGAAUGAAGGGGAAGAAAAUGACCCCCUCUCCACCGUAUUUGUACAAAGGGGGGCACCGAUCGUGAAAAAGAUUGAAAAAUGGAAGCGCGACUAAUCAUUAUUGUCGCCGUCAUCGUCCCCAAGAAAAGUCAAUUGAACUCCAUCGUAGUAGACGUUGGUGGUAGCUUCGUCGUCGUAGUCAUCAAGUUAGCGGCGGCGUAGUACGGUGCAUUAUAGGUUGCUCCGCCUUUGAACCCAGUUGAUUUGAAUUUAAGCUUGAGCAUUCGAAGCUCGGUAGUACAUACAAAUACAUAGUGUAAGAGCCGGCCGGAUGAGAUGAAUGAAUCGUUUAAUCAGAAUAACUGGACGCAGGCCAUGCGACAGGGUUUGGAAAGAGGGUUACCCUUUUCGUCGCGACAGAUUCUGUAGAGCUUGAGAUGAAUGUCUUUAUUAGACUGGGUCAACAUGGUCAUUUUUCCGGAACAAAAUUUUUUCGAUGCCUUUUAUCGUUUCAAACAACUGUGCAAAAUUUGGGCGCGAUCGGUUGCGUCCCCACAUUCCGCAUUGCGUUUGAAAUUUGUAUGGAGUGUUAUAUGGGAAAACAUACUUUUUUGCAUUUUCCUAGUGAUAUGCUUAAAUUUGUUUUAAACUAUGUAACCAAUGAUGUUAAAGUAUAGCCUAGGGGAUGCUGAUCAACUUUGCCGAAGAGAGUAAGGUGCUAGAGCGACGCUGUAAAAAGUUAUUAAUGCCCAAAGUUAGAUAUCGCCGCGCACCUACUAAAAACCAUUUUUGCUGCCAACACUGCUGGUGCUUCAAAUGAUCACCUCAUCCUUGCAUUCCAUUCUGUCAUUUCAUGAAAACCAAACCCCAUUUCAUCAACAAACAACACUUAGGAAGUUCAAAAAUUAAUGUUUUCCAGUUGAUUUUCUACGUUAACCUUUAUUUUUUAUAAUAUUCUUAUUAUUUUAGGUCAGCUUUUGAGGAAUAGUUCCGGAAAUGUUUUAGAGGAGUACGAGGAGCAACCAAUAUUCAUCUUUCUGACUCGGUGGCCACUUUUUAAACCAUUCCCUUUAACCUGGCUUACGACAUAUCUGAGAUCAGAAGUGUGCAAGAGAUUCUGGAACUUUUGAUCACACGGAUAACUUCCGAUGUUGUCCCAGGAUUCCUCAAGGAAGACAGUAGUUUUCCAGUAUUUCUGUAGCCUGGCUUGUGAUCACAUUUUUUUUUACUUCGCAAACCAAGAACAAUAAAAAAAGCUUUGAUACUUUCGAGUAUUCUAAAACCUGGUUUCCCUUGUCCUCGAAAUCGGUAAUUUGUGAGAGUUUUCAUAUGCGAAAUUUGGCUACCAACGCAGAUACAUAUAAUACUUCAUUCAUGAUAGAAUAAAUUAUGCAAGCAUUUUAUUUGCAGAAAUUUGGUUAAUAAUUAUGUUUAUUUCUAAUUGUGAGUAUUUGUAUAAGGUCUCCCCGAACACAGAGCUAGUCCUGCCGCUGCAGCAGUAAUCCAUAAUUAUUAUUCCUAUGAUAUGGUUUCAACAGUUUUGAACAAUAAAACUUGUAAAAAAAUGGUUCACAGAAAAACACACAAAUGGAAAUUAAAUGGACACUGACUAAUAAUGUAACAAUAAACAAAUAAAAAUUCAAUUAUUUUCCUCAGUUAAUACAGGGAAGAAUAGAGUUUGCGAAUAUUAUUGAAGAAUGUCGGAAUAUCGAAUUCUCCAGCAAUAUAAUUAAGCGAAAAUUAGAUCCGCCAUGUACCUUGGUGGUGUUGGUCAUUCGAUAGGCCAAACAUGUUUUCCAGUUGUACCCUUUUUCGGGGUUCAUUAAAUAAUCAAAACUGCACAAAUGCAGAAUAAAGAAUUCUCACAUUAUUCCCUUUUUGUAACACUAUGAAGUUUCAUUCGCCAGAUUCAGGUAGUGGAUGGGAGGUUUGUCCGUUACUCCCCUAAAACAAAUUCGGAACCGCGAUCAUUCCUUAAAGGACAGAGUUUUCCUAAAAUUAUAAGAAUGUUUAAAGCGAUUAGAAAACAAAUAAGGGAUAAAAUUGCAUAGAAAAACGACUGAUACCAUGAGUUGUUGUUUUUAAACAACUCUGUCGAACAAAUCAAGUUCAGAAAUGUCAGAAUGAAAUGCAAGGAUAAAGUGAUCAUUUGAAGCACCAGCAGUGUUGGCAGCAAAAAUGGUUUUUAGUAGUUGCGCGGAGGUAUCUAACUUUGGACAUUAAUAACUUUUUUCAGAGUCGCUCUAGCACCUUACUCUUUUCCGCAAAGUUGAUCAGCAUCCCCUAGGCUAUACUUUGACAUUAUCGGUUAAAUAGUUCCAGCCAAAUUUAAGCAUAUCAUAAGGAAAAUGCUAAAAAGUAUGUUUUCCCAUAUAAAAUUCCAUACAAAUUUCAAACGCAAUGCGGAAUGUGGGGACGCAACCGAUCGCGCCCAAAUUUUGCACAGUUGCUUGGGACGAUAAAAAGUAUCAAAAAAACUUUGUUCCGGGUUGAUUUGAUCAAAUUCCAAUUUUCCCAUACAACGUUGACCCACUCUAGUCUUUAUACUUAUGACACACAUGUGAUACAAGAAUCACUGUACAAUUGCGCUUGAAAUGAGUGCCAUACUGAAAAUUCUCUCAGUUCAAGCAGUCUUGUUAGAAUUUUCUUGACACUGCGUACCGUUGUACAGGAAUCACACUCGUAUCACAUGUCUGUCUGGGUAAGGUGGCCCACAUUUAUAUGAAAAACAAAAAUUUCGAAAAAUUCCAACUCUUCCCUCCUAAAUCAGUUGUUUUGGACUCUCAGUAGCUACGUUCAAAAUUUGAGCAAAAUCGGUUGAGUCUAAGGGGGCGCUCAAAACGCUUGAAGUUUAUAUGGUAAAACUUGGCCAAAUGUAUGCAGAAAUUUUAAGUUUCCGAAUUUUGCCGCUAGGUGGCGCUGUAAGCGUUCAAUGGGAGUCCAAAGCAACUGAUUUAGGAGGUAAAACUUGACAUUUUUCGAUUUUUUUGUUUUUCAUAUAAGUAUGGGCCACCCUACUGUCCGGGGUAUUAGGUACAGACUGUUUGGAAGAGAACAACCCAAGUAACAUUUUUUAGUCAAAUAGGCUAGUAGAGGUUCUUAGAACCACCAUGAAACUAAAAUAAAAGAAAUUAAGUUUUAUGACAGUUCUUAAAAUCUCUACAAGACUAAUAUGUGUCAUCAAAAUGUUACUUCCGGACAAAUGAUCACUGUUUAUCGGUAUCCCAUACCUACAUAUUGUUCAAAUUUCGAGCUUAGCUCUUUCAGGUUGAAUAUUGUAAUGUAGUGUUAUGAAACAUGAUAUUAUUUUAUUAUUUGGAUAGACACAUUGAGAGAAAUAGAAAAUCGCAUUAUAAAUCAUGUCAUAUGAAUAAAUUUCAGUAAAUACUUUUAACUAAAUCUAUGUGAAUCUUCAGAGACCUGAGUAAAGCUAUUCACUCAGUUUUAUUCAUAUGGCCUAAUGCUUCUAAGAGCAGCUUAUGUUUUUUUUUGCAGCCAGGAAACGCUCUGGGCGACAUACGAGAAAUUCACGAUUCCUUAAGAAGUUCUAUCUGGUAUUCCUCAAGGUUUUGUUUCAGUGGUUCUGAAAGUGGCUCCAUCUGGUUGUUCCUUUAGGGACUCCUAGAGUUUCUUCCAAGAUUUGUCGAUAAUUUUUUUUUAGAGAUUCCUCCAGGAAUUCCUUCUAAAAAUCAUCCAGGGAUUCCUUUAGUAGUUUUUCCAAAGUUUUCUUCCUUUGGAAUAUCUUUACAAGUUUCUUUCUAAGAUUAUGGGAAUAAAUCUCCUUAUAGAACUUUUUGAGGACUAUAACUACAGAAUUAUUGGAGGAAAUCCAGAAGGAUUUUUUAUAGAACUGCCGGAGAAAUUCCUUAAGAAAUUGUUGGAGGAAUUUCUGAAGAAAGCCCUGUAGGAAUUAGAUAAGAAUUUUAUGGAAAAACUUCUGAAAGAUUUCCAUAGGCAACUUCUAAAGGAAUUUCAGAACGAUUUUCUGGAGGGAUUCUGGAAUAACCAGCAGAAAUUACAGAAGUAAAUCCUGGAGGAAUCCUAAAAGGUUUUCCUGGAGGAAUCUCAGGAAAUAUUUUUUGAGGAGUUUAAACUUUUUUUUUUCAGAAUAAUCUCGGAACAAUUUCUUGGAUGAAAACCCCAGAACGAAUUCCUUGAGAAAUCCCAGAAGAAACUCAUGGAGAAGUCCUGGAAUUAGCUCUUGGAGGAACCUCUAAAACUAAAGCAGUUCUAGGGGGAAGUCAAGCAUGAAUUUCUUGGAGGGAUCCCGAAUGGUUUUUAUGUACGAACCCCUGAUAAAAAAACGAGAGAAAUCUCAGACUAAACUGCUGGAGGAAGCGCGUAAACAAAAUUAGCUCCUAGAUGAAUUUCUGAAGGAAUUCCUGGAGAAAUCACUGAAACAACUUCUAGUUGAAUUGUAGGAAGACUUCCGGAAUAUCUAGGCGAAUCUCAAAAUGAAUCGCAGGAUUCAAUUUUCAUGAAAUCUCAGCUGAAGAUUCUAGUGGAAACCUGGGAUUUUUAAAUAACUUUAUUCAGGAAUUUCUCAAGAAUUUUUUUUUUGCUUUUUCCUUUUUGAGAAUUUCUCCAGGAGUUCCUCCUGAUACCUCUUCAAGAGAUCUUUUUGAGAUUCCUCCAAGAGUUUCUUAUGUAAACCCUCUCGAAACUACUUCUCAGAUACGCGAGAGGAGCUCCUUUUGGGAUUCUACGAUUCCUUCAGGAGUUCGCCCGAAAUUGUACCACGAUUUUCUUCUAAAAUCAUCCAGUACAUCCUUAUGGAUUAUAUUCAUAUUUUUUAAGUUGUCUUUCAUGAUUUCCCUCUGAGAUUCCGUCAUGAGUUCUUUCUGAAAUUUCUUGCGAGAUUCCUCAAGAACAUCCCUCCAGAAUAAAUCUUUGAUUCACCCAGGAAAUCUUCCAGGGAUUCUAACCCUCAUUCUUGUUUUUGGACGUUUUCACUCUCAAACGUAUUUGUUUGUUUGAAUCCGUGUAUGAGCCUAUGCACAAAUCUGGCAUACUGCUCACUCCCACAGAAAAUUUGAAAACAGUUCGCACAGUAAAAGUCAAAUGAGACUUUUACUGUGCGCGGUGUUUUCAAUUUUUUUUUUUGUGGGAGUGAGCAGGACAGGACAAAUUCGAACAGAGGCUCAUUCCAUUUGAUUCGCUGGUGUUAAAGGAAAUGCAAACAAUUUACGUUCAAUAGCGGAUUCGAUCGUAAACAAUAAUGAGGGUUUCUUAUUGAUAAUCUUUCAGGAGCACCCUUCGAUAUUUAUCCUGGAAGUUUUCAUGGAAUUUAUCCCGGAGUUCCUUUUCGGAACUCCUCCUUGGAUUGCUUUGUGUGUUCAUUCUAUGAUUUCUCUAGCAGGUCCUUCUUGGAUUUCUCCCAGCAUUCUUUCUGAUAUUCAUCCAGGCAAAACUUCCGGGACUCCUCCACGAAACUCUUGCAGGAUUCCUCCAGGAACUUCUUCUGGGGUUUCAGCAGAACCUAUUUACGUAAUCACUCCAUGAGUUCUAUCUGAAAAAUUUCCAGUAUUUUGUUUUGAGAUUCAUCCAGAGAUUUUUCCGGAAUUCCUUAAAAAACUUCAAGAGGAAUGCCAGAUUCUCCAGGAGUUCCUUCUGCAAUGUUCGCAGAUUGUUUUGGACUUCCUUCGGAGUUUCGUUCAAGAAUUCUCUCAGAUACUCCUAUGAAAAUCCCCCAGAAGAUUAAAAAGGCAUUCCUUCAGGAAUUUUCUUAUGAUAAUUUUAUGUAAUCACUCCAGAAGUUUGUUAUGAAAAUCCUUGAGCAACAUAUUCGUUAACUUAUCACCAAUAAGUUUGUAAGGAAUUUCUCAAGGAGUUCCUUUUAGGUUUUCUUCAUUGGUCGUGUCAAUAGUACUAUCUAGGAAUUUCUUCUCGGAAUCCCAGAAAAAAAACUUCCAAAGUUAAAUCUUUGAAGUAAUUCCCAAAGGAAAUCCUGUUCUUCCAAUGAAUGCUUAGAAUGAACUCCUGCAAGAAUCUCGGAAAGAAUUACAAGGACUUUCGGAAGGAAAUCCUGGAGGAAUCUCGGAAGAAAUCCUACAAGAAAUCCUCCAAACAAUUUCUGAAAGAUUACCAAUAAGUAUUCCCUGGAGGCAUCACGGAAAACUGCUGGAGGUUUUGCGUGAGAAUCACUGCAGAAUUCCUACUACCGUGGACUAAACCACAAUCUUAUCAGGCUUUGAUUCUACCAUAGCUUUGACUACAAUACCUUUGGAAGUCUUUCUAGAACUGAAAUGUCAUUAAGCAUUCCCAGCGGAUCACCCCAGCAAGCGACUGUUCCACGCGAAUGAAGCACACUAAUCAAAAUCAAUCACACUAUCCAUGAGAGCAGACGAAAAGUCCACACCUUAAUCAACAAGGCCAAGAAACGUCAAAAUCCCAUACAAAAUCAAAGCAAUGCAGUUGCCUAUAGAUUGACAAUUGUUAUUAAAGUUUCCUGCACAAAUCUAUACCAUACUAUUAUUGUAUUGAAAGUCUCUCAUAUCUCACCAACUGUUUAUACCAUACAAUUUUGAAUAAGAAUUUAUUGAAGAAAGAAAUUAAGGCUCAAUUGAGAAUGGCAAAUGUUCCAUUGCUAAAAAGGCACUUUUUUAAAAGUGAUCCACAGGUCGAAGAAAAUAAGAAUGUCCGAUUGUUUAUUUUGUCAAUUAUGAUAAUCGGACACACUGGUUUUGUUCACUUUUUCUGGAGAAAAGUGCUUUUUCUGAUCUGGAUAAUAUGCGAUUCUCAUUAGAGCCUUGAAGCUAUUUUGUAUUUUAGAAACUUACUUUAAUUUUGAAAAGUCAUUUAGGUACGAACGUACAUGUUUUUGCGGAAGAACAUAGUUUUUAGCGUGCAGUGCAUUACAAACUCUGUCGACCUUGACGUGAUGGAACUUGACAUUUUUCGCACUGGGGAUUCAAAAAUGUUCCUAUCUGACAUACACGGUAAGAAAAAGUCACUCAAAGUAUGUGCAAGCUAGGGGUGGGACAAAAGAUUUAAAGUUAAAAAUCAAAUAUUUUCAACCAUGGCUAAUAAAAAUGAAAAAAAUGGGUAAAUAUGUACUCUUGUGUCAUAUUUUGUGGUUUAAAUCACGAAUCUUUGGGACUUAUUUGCCGUGUUCAAGACAGUAUUUUUUUAAGUCUGAAUACAUAUUGCAUUGAUCGAAAAAAAAAAUAUAACAGUAUUUGCGAAAAGAAAACUCAUUAGAAGACAUAUUGGUGACUAAGGGUGUGACAUCAGCACUUUCCCCUCAAAUUUUGUUUAUAUUUUGAAGCUUACUAACGGACAACCUUCUCUAAAUCACAUUGCCAUCUAUGAUCAUUAGAAAAGCUGGGAAAAGUAAUCCACCAAAAAGGUCAGCGAAAUGUAAUGGAGACGCAUGGUAGUUAUUCUGCGAAUAGUUUACCCGUAUUUCUCAAGAAUAGAACAAAAUAGCGUAGGUGAAAGGUAACGUUGAUAAAGAUUCUCUAUCGUAAUUUUCCUAUAAGGAAUAUAUGUCGACAGCGAUAAACCACGUGCCCACGUGUCACUGGAGAAAUUUCCGAUCAACUGUAUCGUACCCAUUUUAGACGCGCAUUGCCAAUCCAACACAAACUGAAAUCCAAAACGUCCAACGCCAUUCAAUAUGUAUUUACGCCACCCACUUGCUUGCACCCGCUUCCGCUGCUGUGCGCGUGGGCUCGACACAAAAGGCGUGUACCACCACCACCGACCGGAUGAGGCCCCUCAUCCAGGUUCCAUAUCUUUGAAACAUCCACCUUACCUAGAGAUAGGUAGGUGCCGCUGACUUCUUCUGGGAAAGAAAUGGUCACCGCGGUCAUAGCAGCCCAUGUUUCUUCUAAUGUUCGACUUUUUUUUUCCCUUCUGCACGAGCUGACUGUUAUGAAACCUGUCAUCCCGCACCACCACCUUCAUCAAGGCCAACUGGGACUCCACGACCACCGCACCGUGCUAUGAUGAUGACGACUCCCCGUGGCCUCCUGCGACGGCGACGUCGACGACGACGACAACGUUAGUCGGGGGGAAAAGCUGAAUGAAAACCUCAUCGCGGCAUCAUCGUAGUGUGCCAGGCAGGGCGUUCGGGAGGGAGUUUUCCUCGAUGGUUUGGUUAUGUAUGUAGGUAGGUAUCGUGAGGUAUGUACAUUGCAUCGCAAGGCCCAGAGCAAUAAUUUACUAUAUUGGCACUUGGGGUGGUUACCGGGGACUGGCAGUAGGCCACAUCGCAGCGUCCCAACGCACAGUGGAUGAAAUUUUCAAAGACCUGGUAAAAACUAUCGAACGUUUGUUUAUGUAUUUUCUCUUCCACAGGUAGACAGUUCUGCAACUGGAUACAAAAUCGAUAUUUUCGAAUUCUGUAAAAGCUAGUUGAUGCUCCUGGUGUUCAAGAUGAAUGUAUGGUAUACAUAAAACAAUAAAGGCAUGUUCAGAAAAUCCCAUCCAGCAUUCCUAAAAACUAAAAGUCUGUGCAAAGUAAUCAUUUGGAUUUUGUUUCUAGAUAAAACAGCGUAGGCGAUGGGAGUAUUCUCCCAGAAUUUCCCUCGAACGACAGGUAUUAGCAAUCAGCUAACUUGGAAAGGGAACAAACGACCGUUGGUGGGAAAGAAAUGGCACGAGCGAGCGAAAAAAAAAACUACGCUCGUCUACUAUAUAAAUGUGUUUCUCAUUUGUGGGUUCGCGUAGGUUGGGUUGAUAAAACUGAAUGAAAUCAUGAUUAUGGGCGAGACACGCCGCCGAGCCGAGUGGGGCCUGCAGGAUGGGAGGCGGGCGAUAGUUGAAUUGGAAAUACACGCGCGCACACAGGCAGCCAGGACCGGAAAGGACGGUCUACUGGGAAAGGGUGGUGGAGACGAGCGCGCAGUAAUCGACUGUAAAUAUAUAAACAAUGCGCAGGCGCGUUUUAUAGCUGCUGCUGCUGCUGCUGGAUUCAGAGCUUCGGAAACGGCGUUUGGUGUCGGGAUGUAGGCAGAUUGGUCGGUAUGACCACGACACGAUAUCUACACUCGCUGUGAACAACCUGUGCUGGCAACGAACGAGCGAACGAGCACAUGUGUGUAGGUAUGCGCCAUGUGCACCAACACUUAUCCACGGUGGUGGAAUCUCAACUCGCAGUGUGCUGGACAAGUUUUAUAAUGAAACUGACAGACAACCGAGCGAUCAUAGGAGGCAGUGUGUAUAGGAAUGGAAAUCUCAUUGAUACAAAUCUGUAUGCGAAAGUGUUGCCAGAUUAUACGCAAGUAUAUGAUAUCAACAAAAAAACAUUGAAAUUAAUCCUCACAGCUCUAAUAAACCCGUGAUAAAACGCUAUAAAGCCCGAAAGGGGUCACCCUUCAGGAGAUUGUUAAAACCAUCUCCUGAAAAGUUUUAUAUUUGUUUACAAGUACUACGUUUUUAAUACAUUUUUUUGCGCUACUCAAGCUCUAUUAAGGUUUAGGGUUCAGGCUGAACGUUGUUAAGAACUUAUAGGUUGGCCAUGGGUAGUCGUCAAAAACGUAAACAAACAGAAAGUUUUAUACUUGUGUUAGAACUUCAACUGCACUUAUUUCCAUGAAUAGUCAUUAAAGCAGACAUCCUAAGUAACAAU